UAGACAUAAGCCUGUGAGAAAUGGUUAAAAUUUUUCACAGUCUUUAUGUCUAG
RNAcentral lists this non-coding RNA (53 nucleotides) under Spodoptera frugiperda (fall armyworm). The record is from RNAcentral. Lineage: Eukaryota; Metazoa; Arthropoda; Insecta; Lepidoptera; Noctuidae.